GAUGAACGCUGGCGGCGUGCCUAAUACAUGCAAGUCGAGCGAACAGACGAGGAGUUUGCUCCUCUGACGUUAGCGGCGGACGGGUGAGUAACACGUGGAUAACCUACCUAUAAGACUGGGAUAACUUCGGGAAACCGGAGCUAAUACCGGAUAAUAUAUUGAACCGCAUGGUUCAAUAGUGAAAGACGGUUUUGCUGUCACUUAUAGAUGGAUCCGCGCCGCAUUAGCUAGUUGGUAAGGUAACGGCUUACCAAGGCAACGAUGCGUAGCCGACCUGAGAGGGUGAUCGGCCACACUGGAACUGAGACACGUUCCAGACUCCUACGGGAGGCAGCAGUAGGGAAUCUUCCGCAAUGGGCGAAAGCCUGACGGAGCAACGCCGCGUGAGUGAUGAAGGUCUUCGGAUCGUAAAACUCUGUUAUUAGGGAAGAACAAAUGUGUAAGUAACUAUGCACGUCUUGACGGUACCUAAUCAGAAAGCCACGGCUAACUACGUG
This 497-nucleotide ribosomal RNA is filed under the name uncultured bacterium. RNAcentral's name for it is "partial 16S ribosomal RNA". It matches the Rfam family "Bacterial small subunit ribosomal RNA", at positions 28 to 507 of the family's 1533-position model. The record is from RNAcentral.